ACGGAGGGGGCUAGCGUUGUUCGGAAUUACUGGGCGUAAAGCGCACGUAGGCGGCUUUGCAAGUCAGAGGUGAAAGCCCGGGGCUCAACCCCGGAAUUGCCUUUGAGACUGCAUCGCUUGAACAUCGGAGAGGUAAGUGGAAUUCCGAGUGUAGAGGUGAAAUUCGUAGAUAUUCGGAGGAACACCAGUGGCGAAGGCGACUGACUGGACAAGUAUUGACGCUGAGGUGCGAAAGCGUGGGGAGCAAACAGGA
Molecule: ribosomal RNA, 253 nt
Filed under: uncultured prokaryote
Description: partial 16S ribosomal RNA
Rfam family: Bacterial small subunit ribosomal RNA
Source: RNAcentral